CUAAUAGGAAACAAGGGCACAUGGUGGAUGCCUAGGCUCUACAUAGCGAUGAAGGACGUGAUAUGGCGGCGAUACGCUUCGGGGAGGUGCCUAAUAACCUUUGAUCCGGAGAUCUCCGAAUGGGGGAACCCUAGAAAGUGAACCUUUCUAAUCUAACAGCUUGACUGUUAGGAGCGCACCCAGGGAAGUGAAACAUCUCAGUACCUGGAGGAAAAGAAACCAAAUAGUAUUUCCUGAGUAGCGGCGAGCGAAACGGAAGAAGCCCAAACCUGUCCAAUAUUGGUUGUUUGAAACUUGUUUUGAACAACCAAUAUUGGACGGGGGUUGUAAGGUAACAACGACGUUUUACGUAAAAAGUUACAAAAUGUGGUAAUAGAAAAAUGUGCUGGAAAGCACAACCAUAGGAGGUGAUAGUCCUGUA
This 421-nucleotide ribosomal RNA is filed under the name Candidatus Nomurabacteria bacterium. RNAcentral's name for it is "partial 23S ribosomal RNA". It matches the Rfam family "Bacterial large subunit ribosomal RNA", at positions 1 to 377 of the family's 2925-position model. Lineage: Bacteria; Candidatus Nomuraibacteriota. The record is from RNAcentral.